Molecule: transfer RNA, 73 nt
Filed under: Synergistes jonesii
Lineage: Bacteria; Thermotogati; Synergistota; Synergistia; Synergistales; Synergistaceae
Rfam family: tRNA
About the family: Transfer RNA (tRNA) molecules are approximately 80 nucleotides in length. Their secondary structure includes four short double-helical elements and three loops (D, anti-codon, and T loops).
Source: Rfam by way of RNAcentral
GGCGGGAUAGCUCAGUUGGUAGAGCAACGGACUGAAAAUCCGUGUGUCCCCAGUUCAAUUCUGGGUCCCGCCA